AUUGAACGCUGGCGGCAGGUCUAACACAUGCAAGUCGAGCGGAUGAAGGGAGCUUGCUCCUGGAUUCAGCGGCGGACGGGUGAGUAAUGCCUAGGAAUCUGCCUGGUAGCGGGGGAUAACGUCCGGAAACGGGCGCUAAUACCGCAUACGUCCUGAGGGAGAAAGUGGGGGAUCUUCGGACCUCACGCUAUCAGAUGAGCCUAGGUCGGAUUAGCUAGUUGGUGGGGUAAAGGCCUACCAAGGCGACGAUCCGUAACUGGUCUGAGAGGAUGAUCAGUCACACUGGAACUGAGACACGGUCCAGACUCCUACGGGAGGCAGCAGUGGGGAAUAUUGGACAAUGGGCGAAAGCCUGAUCCAGCCAUGCCGCGUGUGUGAAGAAGGUCUUCGGAUUGUAAAGCACUUUAAGUUGGGAGGAAGGGCAGUAAGUUAAUACCUUGCUGUUUUGACGUUACCAACAGAAUAAGCACCGGCUAACUUCGUG
This 484-nucleotide ribosomal RNA is filed under the name uncultured bacterium. RNAcentral describes it as "partial 16S ribosomal RNA". It matches the Rfam family "Bacterial small subunit ribosomal RNA", at positions 30 to 507 of the family's 1533-position model. The record is from RNAcentral.